RNAcentral lists this ribosomal RNA (143 nucleotides) under uncultured eukaryote. RNAcentral describes it as "partial 18S ribosomal RNA". It matches the Rfam family "Eukaryotic small subunit ribosomal RNA", at positions 1299 to 1458 of the family's 1831-position model. The record is from RNAcentral.
UGGUGGAGUGAUUUGUCUGGUUAAUUCCGUUAACGAACGAGACCUCAUCCUACUAAUUAUGUCCUUCUAAUCUUCGGAUUGGAGGUUGACUUCUUAGAGGUACUGUUGGUGCUACAAGCCGACGGAAGUUUGAGGCAAUAACA